CUUCUGAAGAUGAUAGAGCACAGGACACUUAAGGGCUGGGAACAGAAAUGCUCUAAUAAAGAAAGUUGAAGACUUUUAUAAAGUUUUGAAUCGAGAAAUCAUGAUACAAAAAGAUGUUGGUCAGAACCUGCAAUACUUUUUCAUUUAUUUUAAAGGGAAACUGAGUUGUAAGAAGUAGCUUAUUGAGUACCAUAGUCUGAUGCUCCUUGCAAGACAAAAAUUGGAACAGUUCUAUACACAACAGAGAUGAUACUGCAUGAGGAAACAAUCGGUGGUUGAUAAUAGAUGUGGCGAUUCCCACAAUGAGUAUUAGUGGAAAUUCAUGCAGAUGUUGACUGCUGAUAAUUAUGAAAUCUUGCAGUACUUUUGUGGCAAAGCUUUCCAUAUCCUUUAAGGUAGCCAAAACAGGAGGAGACUGCCAUUGGCUAGAAGUAGUCCUCUUUUUGCUUGGCAUUUUUGGGUCUGUCUUCUGUGUGACAGUCAUGUACCAACUGGAAAGUGAAUCCAUUAAAUAAUGUGUAUUUCUCUGGGUGACCUGAACGCUUUCCCCCUCUUUGGAUUUUAGAUGUACACAGCAGUUCAUUAAUUAUGAGACCAAAUUUUGCAAAAAAUGUUUCAUAUCUGGACAGUCUUUAGCUUGCGAUGAGACUACAUAUGGUGUGACUUUAUUCUGAAGGGCCUCUGUUAGACUUCUGAAUGUUAAAUCAUGAUCUGUGACUUUCACACCAAGAACAAGAGCAGCAGUUGGAAUUUCUCUGAGUUUUGUUUGACAGCCCAAGUCUCUUGAAUUCUUCUGGAAUCCAGAAUGAGAUUUUUGCAGAAAUUCAGUUAGAUUGUCAAACAAGUUUUUAUUUAAUUCCUCUUGUAGUGGCUCAUUUUCAGAUUUCAUUUGCUGCCAUAUCAACUAAGUUCCAAAUUGAAGCUUACUGUCCUUAGGCUCAUUUUUCCCUUUGUUAAAAUAGUCCUCCAUUGGCACAGAGAUCUUUCUCUUUUUGGAGUUUGGCUUAAAAACAAAGCAGCCCUUAGACACUGAGGAGGUGGCCAUGGUCUUACUGGCUCU
This 1060-nucleotide long non-coding RNA is filed under the name Homo sapiens (human). RNAcentral's name for it is "HSALNT0178846". Lineage: Eukaryota; Metazoa; Chordata; Mammalia; Primates; Hominidae. The record is from RNAcentral.